Molecule: unclassified non-coding RNA, 281 nt
Filed under: uncultured fungus
Lineage: Eukaryota; Fungi
Description: sequence contains ITS1
Rfam family: 5.8S ribosomal RNA (bases 1-98)
Source: RNAcentral
UAAAGUGCGAAAUGAAGUGCGAUUUGCAUGAAUCUGUGAGUCAUCAUAUCUUUGAACGCAACUUGCGCCAUUUGCUUGGCAUGUCUGUUUGAGAACCGGAUACUUUUGCUUUAAGCGAUAUGACCUAGUAUCAUCGAAACUUGGUCGAAAAAAAGCAUGUUUGGUGUGAUCAGUGGCACCGUGUGCUAGAGCCUCGUGCUUCUCACGGUCCAUCGACCAAACCAAAAGCCAAAUAUCAUACUUUUGGUCUCAAAUCAGGCAAGAUUACCCGCUGAACUUAA